This is a long non-coding RNA of Oncorhynchus keta (chum salmon), 599 nucleotides long. RefSeq lists it as uncharacterized. Lineage: Eukaryota; Metazoa; Chordata; Actinopteri; Salmoniformes; Salmonidae. The record is from RefSeq and is a predicted model, not a curated record. The transcript has 3 exons.
AACAACUGGGUGAAAGGAAAUAACAGUCACAGUAGGGAAUAGGGAACAGCCCCAGCCUGGGACAACAACUGGGUGAAAGGAAGUAACAGUCACAGUAGGGAAUAGGGAACAGCCCCAGCCUGGGACAACAACUGGGUGAAAGGAAGUAACAGUCACAGUAGGGAAUAGGGAACAGCCCCAGCCUGGGACAACAACUGGGUGAAAGGAAGUAACAGUCACAGUAGGGAAUAGGGAACAGCCCCAGCCUGGGACAACAACUGGGUGAAAGGAAAUAACAGUCACAGUAGGGAAUAGGGAACAGCCCCAGCCUGGGACAACAGAUGGGUGAAAGGAAGUAACAGUCACAGUAGGGAAUAGGGAACAGCCCCAGCCUGGGACAACAGAUGGGUGAAAGGAAGUAACAGUCACAGUAGGGAAUAGGGAACAGCCCCAGCCUGGGACAACAACUGGGUGAAAGGAAGUAACAGUCACAGUAGGGAAUAGGGAACAGCCCCAGCCUGGGACAACAACUGGGUGAAAGGAAAUAACAGUCACAGUAGGGAAUAGGGAACAGCCCCAGCCUGGGACAACAACUGGGUGAAAGGAAGUAACAGUCACAG